This 301-nucleotide ribosomal RNA is filed under the name uncultured bacterium. RNAcentral's name for it is "partial 16S ribosomal RNA". It matches the Rfam family "Bacterial small subunit ribosomal RNA", at positions 509 to 809 of the family's 1533-position model. The record is from RNAcentral.
CAGCAGCCGCGGGAAUACAGAGGGUGCAAGCGUUAAUCGGAAUUACUGGGCGUAAAGCGCGCGUAGGUGGUUUGUUAAGUUGGAUGUGAAAUCCCCGGGCUCAACCUGGGAACUGCAUCCAAAACUGGCAAGCUAGAGUAUGGUAGAGGGUGGUGGAAUUUCCUGUGUAGCGGUGAAAUGCGUAGAUAUAGGAAGGAACACCAGUGGCGAAGGCGACCACCUGGACUGAUACUGACACUGAGGUGCGAAAGCGUGGGGAGCAAACAGGAUUAGAUACCCCUGUAGUCCCUGUCUCUUAUAA